CUGGUUGGUAAUCAGGUUUCGAGUGUAAGUGCACAAGGGAGCUUGACUGCGAGACCGGCAGGUCGAGCAGGGACGAAAGUCGGAACUAGUGACCCGGCGCUGGCUUGUGGAAGCGGCGUCGCUCAACGGAUAAAAGGUACCCCGGGGAUAACAGGCUGAUCUUGCCCAAGAGUCCAUAUCGACGGCAUGGUUUGGCACCUCGAUGUCGGCUCGUCGCAUCCUGGGGGUGGAGUCUCUCCCAAGGGUUGGGCUGUUCGCCCAUUAAAGCGGUACGCGAGCUGGGUUUAGAACGUCGUGAGACAGUUCGGUCCCUAUCCGCUGUGCGCGUAGGAAAUUUGAGAAGGGCUGUCCCUAGUACGAGAGGACCGGGAUGGACGAACCUCUGGUGUGUCAGUUGUUCUGCCAAGAGCACCGCUGAUUAGCUACGUUCGGAAGUGAUAACCGCUGAAAGCAUCUAAGCGGGAAGCACGCUUCAAGAUGAGAUUUCCAUGGACUUUAAUGUCCGAGAGGCUCCCAGCUAGACUACUGGGUUGAUAGGCCAGACGUGGAAGUGCAGUAAUGCAUGUAGCUGACUGGUACUAAUAAGCCGAUAACUUGAUACA
This 602-nucleotide non-coding RNA is filed under the name Janibacter sp. HTCC2649. RNAcentral's name for it is "Bacterial large subunit ribosomal RNA". It matches the Rfam family "Bacterial large subunit ribosomal RNA", at positions 2327 to 2925 of the family's 2925-position model. The record is from Rfam by way of RNAcentral. Lineage: Bacteria; Bacillati; Actinomycetota; Actinomycetes; Micrococcales; Intrasporangiaceae.